AUAAAAACACCCUAGGAGUGCUGACUCCCCGUGUCAUAGCUGUGGAGCCUGCACCCUGCACCAAGGAGGAAGGAGAAGAAGAAGCUAAAGCUAAGAGAUUAAGUAGCUUUCCAAGGUCAAACAACCAGGAAAUGGUGGCAGAGGUGAAAUUAGAACCAGAUAUCAACACAAAUUAUUUAGAAUAAGAAAAGCAACACCGUUUCCAGAGUUGGUAUUCCUGCAUUUGGUCACACUUGUGCCAAGAAACCAUGGGACUCUGAGAAAAGGAACAAGGACUUGCAAAGCACUCUUCUCUUCAGCAGAUGGAAAACUACGAAAUGUCAAGUGCCUUUUAACAACAUUCUAGACUGUUCAAAGUGUUAAGCAAAUUUUAUAUUGUUUAGAAAUGUCUAGCUUGUAUCCUACUGUUACAGCUAUUCAGAUUUUACAUGUUGUAGCUGUUUCUUCUCUUCUAAAAUGCCUCCUAUGUCCAUGUUUCUUCGUAGCAGUCUGAUAGGAUCCUACAGCACAAAGUCCACAAUAACCCUAGCCACCAACCAAGAUCAUAUGUAAAUAUUUUCAUGAAGUCAGAUAUUACGUUCAUUUCUUUCCACCUCCUUUUUUUCUUAAACUUGGUAAUAUUCCCCUUUUGUUACCCUCAAAAUAGGCUUGUUGUUUGCUCUGUCUUCUCUUUUCCUUAUGAACCCAUCAAUGACUAUCCAUGACUAUGGCAACUGGUUCAUGACAUUUACCCCAAUUAGCUGAGUUACAGGCAACUCAGUAAAAGGAUUGGACAUGAAAAUUUCUUUUUUAGGGUGUGAAUCAAAACUCUCAAAAAAGCACAAAAAAUAAUUCUGAUUUUCUGUAUGUUUGAAGCAUUCACAUAAUCCGUAAGUAUAAUAUAUUGGUCCCACUUUCCUUAUUUUGUGUAAUCAAACCAUAAUCAAUAAGAACUACAACUAUUUCAAAAUGAGAUUUCUGAAGCAUUGAGGACAAAUUCAUCAGGAGCACACAUAUAAAAGUCACUGGAGAGAGUCUUUUCUUUCUUAAGUGCCCUUGAAACCCAGCAACUGAAUUAUAUUCCAGGCCCCAAAGGAGAGCUACAAGGUUAUAAUUGUCUCACACUUAAUUACAUGCAUUGCAAAAGGUAAAUGGA
This 1135-nucleotide long non-coding RNA is filed under the name Equus asinus (donkey). RNAcentral describes it as "lncRNA (ENSEASG00005036021.1)". The record is from RNAcentral. Lineage: Eukaryota; Metazoa; Chordata; Mammalia; Perissodactyla; Equidae.